Pseudopipra pipra is the source of this 3002-nucleotide long non-coding RNA. RefSeq lists it as uncharacterized. The transcript is spliced from 4 exons. Lineage: Eukaryota; Metazoa; Chordata; Aves; Passeriformes; Pipridae. The record is from RefSeq and is a predicted model, not a curated record.
CCAGUACAGCAGGCGGUCAGCAUCCACGUACCAGUACAGGAGUGUAUUUCCCCUCUCUAACCACCCUCCUUCCCACUCAGCUCACCAUUGUCCAGUUCCUGCCUUUCCAGACAUUUUGCUGGAUGGCACUGGGCAAAAGAAGAAUCACUUUUAGAAGUCAGUCAGUGGUUGGCCAGGUCACCACAGGAUCUGGGAGCUUGCUGCAAACAGCACAGACAUCACAGUUAACAGAACCUUAUGUAAUGGUCAGUGGAACUGUGACAGUUCAGUAACAAGUCAAGUCAGCCCAAUCCACUUUAGGGGCUCUGUGGCCGCCCAAAGUAACAAAUUGUAACACUUUUCUGAUGAAUAUUUAUAUCCUGGCUAAUAAGUACGUGUGUUAUCUUGAGCCAACCAUGCAGGGUACAGGAAGGAUGUGAUUUUAAAAAUAAAGCUGCCAGAUUAUUUUUCCUGUAGACAGAACUGAAGCAUGAUUUCCACUGCUCUGAUGCCAUUGCUGAAUGAAGAGGUGCAAAAAUCCCAUCUUUUUGCCCUUUCUGCAGAAUAAUGCCAGAUCUGCUGCUUGGCCAACCUGUGGUAUAGUCUUGGCUGUAAAUCAGCCUUGCCAGCUCUUCUUGUAUCUGACCACUGAAAUCACUGAUCUAAAUCUGAAGUUCAAACUUCCUGCUGUUUUGCUUAAGGCAGCACAAGACGUGUUUUAAUUAACUGCUUUGAUCCAAUUCUGUGGAUCUAAAACGAGUAAGCAAUAAUGCAGUAGUUUCUUGUGCAUAAUUCUGAUACAAUUUUCACACAGCUGUCAUCUGGGCACCAGAAUUAUUGCAACCUAGUUGGGAUAUAGGCAAGAAAUAAGAAAUAUGUAUAGAGAUUAAGACCAUAUUACUAAAAAUUCAUAGUUAUCUCAUGAGGCUUUCCUUAGGGCCUCAAAUAUCCACUUCUCUGAAAGCCUGUUUCUAGCAUCACUGACACAUAUUAUAUGCAAAGCUGGAUGCCAAUAAGCAUUUAUUGUCUUGUGCUCCUCUCACUUUAUGCAACAAACAUUUGAACUUAGCAGUAGUAAUGCUUACAGUAGUUAUGGUAAUUGCAAAGUUAUUGAUACUGAAUUCUGUAUUGCUUUAUAAUCUGUAGUUUUUUUAACUUAGAUCAUGAUUUAAGAAUAGCUUUGCCAUGGUGUUUAGCAUUUCACUUCCCCACCUCUGGCAGGACUGCCUUCAUUGAAGACAUUCCAGUGAAUCUCUCCAGUCCACAUACAAAUUAAACACCAACAGUUUUGGCUCAGAAGGGGCCAGUUCCUGUUCCAGAAACUCAGACAUUACAUACCAUAUCUUGUCACUUGAUACUGGUUGUCUGUAGGAAGCAGUCAGCCAGGAAGCUUAUCAUCUGGGGACCAAAUCAGCACUAGUGUCAUAGCUACAGAUCUAAAACAGCAACAGCAAUGUGAGGAUUAAUACCCAUUUACCAAAAGGAUGACUAAUCAUGGUGAAAUGCAAUAUUGUCAUCCAUUGCUACACGUUAAGAAAGCACUUCUCCAAAUCUGCUUGCAGCCUUGAGUGGCUUGUUAAACUGGAUGCCAAAUGUUUAGGGCCUUCCUUAGUUGAAAUGAAACCGUUGUCUUUUCAGACUAAUCCUUUGUGAUAAGCAAAGCAAGCAAUAAACUAUUGAAUAUGCUUACAAAGAUCAGUAAUAAAGAUAACAGAACUAGAGACCCUCAGGUGGGAUUGUGAGAGCUGGCUCAUCUGCUGUAUGCACAGAUUCUGUAAAUCUUGAUUGUAUGCACAGCUCCUCCUGAAUUUGCCCUGCAGCAAAAUCACGUGUUCUGUGACACAACCACAACAGAGUCUACAGUAACUAAAAAUAAACUGCUUCUCUGCAAAUUCAUGGCUCAGUUUAGUCCAGCUUGUAAAUAGCUUUUCAGCAUUGGUCAGCAAACACUGUUCCUUGUGAUUAUCACAUUAUGCACAACCUCACUAACUGUCAUUAGAGUUGGCUAUUUUAGUAUCUUCACAUAUUGCAACACGUGGGUCUGGCCCCAGAUGAUUGUUUAGUAAGUCAUGAGUUCUCUUACCAGCUUUUGUUACCCACAUUUGUGUAUCUGACCCAGCUGCUUUGCCAUUUCCUUGAGAGCUUGCAGGUCGUCAGAGUUGCCUGACAAAUCUGUUACUGUUUCCAUGCCUGUGGUACUAAAUGUGUUGUACCUGGAUGGUGGGAAAGCUGGAUAAUCAGUCACAUUUCCAGUAUCUCCACAUAAGCAAUUAGGAACAUCUACCCCAAAGCUGUAGGCCACACAGAGCUAUAGGCACAGUGAACCUUAAUGUUUCUUUAAUCAGCAUCUGGUAACAAGUGAUUCAUAACCAAGCAAACUCAAGUAACUUCAACUGAAAAACAAGCACCCAAGAAGAAACAUUGUUUGCAUUGAGGUGCAAAUAACUAACACAGAAAAAUAUCAAAAUAUUUGUCUCAACGACUCAGACAUAAUGUGACUUGUCCACAAGAUGGCAGGCACUGUACCCAGAAGGGGCUGACAGCAAAGUACCAUCUGUGGGACAAAAAAACCCUUCCUUGGAAUUGUCCUUCUUAACUUCCUUAUCCUUCUAGGCAAGCACAGAAGAAAACCUGUCUGUAAUUACUUUCUUGAUCUAAAAAUCUGCUUGUCUCAGAGAUGAGCAAAGACUUCAGUUCAUGUGGAAAACAGAUAAUGUCUGUCAUCCAGGGGAACUAGUUUUUCUCUUUGAGAUUUCAGGUGGCUGCAACCAAGUUAAGUCAUACACAAGAGGCACAGGCACUGCAGGGAGAAAGAUUAUAACCUUACCAGACAUCUGUUUUUUACCAGUCUCUAGAUUACUGCCUGGAAGAAGCAGACAGUGGGAAGGGAAAGAGCUGAGAAUUCUGAAAGGACUGACCAAAGAAAAACUCAGAAUGAAGAUGGCAGUGCUUCAUAGGAAGAGGAGAGCCAAGAAUGGCCCGUGUGCUGCAGGGCGAGGGUUGCUCCGUGUCAGUGCUGCUUC